UACGGAGGGUGCAAGCGUUAUCCGGAAUCACUGGGUUUAAAGGGUGCGUAGGCGGCUUGAUAAGUCAGGGGUGAAAGCUUCCCGCUCAACGGGAGAACUGCCCUUGAUACUGUCAGGCUCGAAUUGGGUUGAGGCAGGCGGAAUGUGGCAUGUAGCGGUGAAAUGCUUAGAUAUGCCAUAGAACACCGAUUGCGAAGGCAGCCUGCCAAGCCUUGAUUGACGCUGAGGCACGAAAGCGUGGGGAGCGAACAGG
Molecule: ribosomal RNA, 253 nt
Filed under: uncultured bacterium
Lineage: Bacteria
Also listed under: 1 other name
Description: partial 16S ribosomal RNA
Rfam family: Bacterial small subunit ribosomal RNA
Source: RNAcentral